GAUGUGGCUCAGUGGUAGAGCACCUGCUUAGCAUGCACACAAGGCCUGGGUUCCAGCCCCAGUAUC
This 66-nucleotide transfer RNA is filed under the name Ictidomys tridecemlineatus (thirteen-lined ground squirrel). RNAcentral's name for it is "Spermophilus tridecemlineatus (thirteen-lined ground squirrel) tRNA". Lineage: Eukaryota; Metazoa; Chordata; Mammalia; Rodentia; Sciuridae. The record is from Rfam by way of RNAcentral.